Molecule: ribosomal RNA, 253 nt
Filed under: uncultured bacterium
Lineage: Bacteria
Description: partial 16S ribosomal RNA
Rfam family: Bacterial small subunit ribosomal RNA
Source: RNAcentral
UACGUAGGGUGCAAGCGUUGUCCGGAAUUAUUGGGCGUAAAGAGCUCGUAGGCGGCUUGUCACGUCGACUGUGAAAACCCGGGGCUCAACUCCGGGCCUGCAGUCGAUACGGGCUGGCUUGAGUGCGGUAGGGGAGACUGGAAUUCCUGGUGUAGCGGUGAAAUGCGCAGAUAUCAGGAGGAACACCGGUGGCGAAGGCGGGUCUCUGGGCCGUAACUGACGCUGAGACGCGAAAGCGUGGGGAGCGAACAGG